GGUCCCUUCGUCUAUCGGUUAGGACAUUUGGUUUUCAACCAAAAAAGACGGGUUCGACUCCCGUAGGGACUACCA
Molecule: transfer RNA, 75 nt
Filed under: bacterium
Lineage: Bacteria
Description: tRNA-Glu
Rfam family: tRNA
About the family: Transfer RNA (tRNA) molecules are approximately 80 nucleotides in length.
Source: RNAcentral